RNAcentral lists this transfer RNA (75 nucleotides) under Methanomassiliicoccales archaeon. Its description in RNAcentral is "tRNA-Arg". It matches the Rfam family "tRNA". From Rfam's summary of the family: Transfer RNA (tRNA) molecules are approximately 80 nucleotides in length. Their secondary structure includes four short double-helical elements and three loops (D, anti-codon, and T loops). The record is from RNAcentral. Lineage: Archaea; Methanobacteriati; Thermoplasmatota; Thermoplasmata; Methanomassiliicoccales.
GGGCGUGUGGCCUAGUCUGGAUAUGGCAGCAGCCUCCUAAGCUGCGGAUCAGGGGUUCGAAUCCCUUCACGCCCG